CAGCCAGACUCCUACGGGAGGCAGCAGUGGGGAAUAUUGCACAAUGGGGGAAACCCUGAUGCAGCAACGCCGCGUGAGUGAAGAAGCGUUUCGGCGCGUAAAGCUCUGUCAGCGGGGAAGAAAGAAGACGGUACCCGACCAAGAAGCCCCGGCUAACUACGUGCCAGCAGCCGCGGUAAUACGUAGGGGGCGAGCGUUAUCCGGAAUUACUGGGUGUAAAGGGAGCGUAGACGGCGAAGUAAGCCUGAAGUGGAAGCCCGCGGCCCAACCGCGGAACUGCAUUGGGAACUACCGGGCUGGAGUGCCGGAGAGGUAGGCGGAAUUCCUAGUGUAGCGGUGAAAUGCGUAGAUAUUAGGAGGAACACCAGUGGCGAAGGCGACCUACUGGACGGUGACUGACGCUGAGGCUCGAAAGCGUGGGGAGCAAACAGGAUUAGAUACCCGCGUAGC
This 450-nucleotide ribosomal RNA is filed under the name uncultured bacterium. RNAcentral describes it as "bacterial SSU rRNA". It matches the Rfam family "Bacterial small subunit ribosomal RNA", at positions 328 to 794 of the family's 1533-position model. The record is from RNAcentral.